GAUGAAGAACGUAGCGAAAUGCGAUAAGUAAUGUGAAUUGCAGAAUUCAGUGAAUCAUCGAAUCUUUGAACGCACACUGCGCCCUUUGGUAUUCCGAAGGGCAUGCCUGUCCGAGCGUCAUUACAACCACUCAAGCCUCGGCUUGGCCUUGGGGUUCCCGGUCGCGGGGCUCUUAAAAUCAGUGGCGGCGCCUGCCGGCCCUGCGCGUAGUAAACCAACCUCGCGUCUGGGUCCGGCCGGUGUCCAGCCAGCCACCCCCCCCCCUCUUUUACAGGUUGACCUCGGAUCAGGUAGGGAUACCCGCUGAACUUAAGCAUAUCAAUAAGCGGAGGA
This 333-nucleotide unclassified non-coding RNA is filed under the name soil metagenome. Its description in RNAcentral is "partial contains 5.8S ribosomal RNA, internal transcribed spacer 2, and large subunit ribosomal RNA". The stretch from base 1 to 120 matches the Rfam family "5.8S ribosomal RNA", at positions 35 to 154 of the family's 154-position model. The record is from RNAcentral.